RNAcentral lists this long non-coding RNA (1325 nucleotides) under Medicago truncatula (barrel medic). Its description in RNAcentral is "lncRNA gene19970". The record is from RNAcentral. Lineage: Eukaryota; Viridiplantae; Streptophyta; Magnoliopsida; Fabales; Fabaceae.
GUGCCCCUUAAUUGGAGUUCACAGUUUGGGUUUUAAUUAUGUUCAUGUGAUUUCCAAUUAUUAUAAUUUGAGGGAUGAGUUGGGAAGCAUGGUUCGUGGGAAACAUUGAGCAAACAUUGCUGUGGUAGCACAAAGAGGAAUUUGAAAAUGAUAUAUGAUUCUUGUCUCCUCUAUUCAUUUGCUAUAUACCAAGAAUAUCUCAACUACUAUGACGCUAACUUGUAUUCUCAUUUCUUAGUUAUCUUUAUUUUCAGAGAAAAACAAUGGCAGGUGAUGUAGAAACGAACCCCAAAAGCUCUCUGCAUAGUCGCAGCAACGACUAGCUUACCCUCGGCAUCACACCCUACCGUAUCACAUCAUCAAUAAGUCACACACUCGAUAACUUGCAGGAUUUGUAUAGGCACAUAUAAGCUACUCCACAUGACAAUUUCCCAACAAGCAUUGGCACGAUAAGGCAGCGAGAAACAAGUUGAUGAACUAUUUGAUGGAUCUAGUUAAAGAUUGUAUGGUGCAAUCAAAGGAUAUCAUGCAUGAACUAAGGUCAGUUAUUCUCAGGAGGAGAGCUGUGGAAAGUGGAAUCACAGUUGAGGGUGGAAGGAAAAUACUUGUCAUAUAGGAAGAAGAUGAAGAAAGCUAUUGCAGAGGCACUUGGAAACUUGAAAGCAAUGAAAAAUGAGUCCACAGUUUCUUUUCUUCCGCAAACAAAGACAUGGAAACUUUUUCGAUCUUGAAAGAAGCCCAAGAUGUCACAGUUAACUCAUUAGAGUCUGUGUGGUUGAUUAAAGCAGAGCAAGUGGUCAACACUCUUGUGGUCUCAAAGAAAAUCUUGUGGUCAACACAUUAAAAAUCUUGUAUAUUUUUUUUUGGAAUAAAUGUCAUCUUUAUUACCAUUUAGAUCAAGGUAGUUUCCCCUAUGAAUGAGUCAGUGGUUAGAACUAACAAAAUAGUUGCCAAGUUGAUACAUUAAUAUGGUCAUGGCAGACAAGUUCAUAAACUGAACUCUGUUUAAUAAUUGAAACAGCUCCUCAUCCAGAAAAUAUCUUCCAUUAUCGAUAAUCUACAGGAUUGGAAAAUUGAUGAUUAAGGUUUAAGAAGGAUAGGUGCAUCGAAAGCGUUGCAAGGCAUAUGAGGAAGUUCUUCAUGUCAUGUCUCCCUUGUGAUUCCAUUGGAUUCUCAAUAUGAAAACAAAACUGAGAUCAGAAUCAAUAUAUGAAUAUAAUAUAAUUGCACUGCACACUCAUUGUGUUACACAUUUAAAUAUAUAGAAUGAAAUGCUAUCGAAAAACCAGAGAGAUAAACACGUUACCGACAGUAUUUCAGCAAUU